This is a long non-coding RNA of Mytilus californianus (California mussel), 996 nucleotides long. RefSeq lists it as uncharacterized. The record is from RefSeq and is a predicted model, not a curated record. Lineage: Eukaryota; Metazoa; Mollusca; Bivalvia; Mytilida; Mytilidae. The transcript has 3 exons.
ACUAAAAAUAGAAUCAAGGUCUUUUUAGUUAAUUAGUAUGCAAACAAAUAACAGAUAUUUGUCAUGAAAUGAAAGAAAAGUUUUAAAAUACCUUGUUUAGCACGUGCCUUAUAUGUUUUACGAUGACCUGAAUGGAACAGGUGGAAUAUUUACUGUAAAAAUUGUGCUUAGAGCCUUAACAUUUCCUAAACAUGUUUAGGAAAAUGUUUACAUGCUAUGCACAUAUAAUUCCAUAAUGUCCCCAAUCCAAACAUGUUUAGAAUUACAACAUGUAAUGCCCAACAUGCUUAAAGCCUAAACAUGUCAUGACCUAUGCGAUUAGAAAAGAUACCACGUGAUUGCGAACGCCGCAUGUUUCCCGUCUGCAAAUGCACAACAAAGGAAGAAGGAAUUCAGAACGGACCAGGAGAGCCGAUUAAAAACACAACUGUACCAGGAAUAUAUAUAUAUAUGUUUAUGACUUCUAUUUUUUAGAAUACAGAAAUGACAAAUAGAGACAUUACUGUUAGUUUGGAGCUGGUGAACCAACAAAUUACAGCACAAUAGCCAAGGCAAUACAACAAAAUGCAGGUUUAGAAACCUAAACCUGAGAAGACAGAAAGUCACCAGAAAGGUUAUAGUGGAAACUAAAACAAAUUGAUUAACAACUGCCACGGAAUUGUGGAAGAACAGAAGGUGGAUUUAAGCCUGGACAUUAAUAACAUCAUUUUGAGACUCAUCUUUUACUAUUACGUAUGGGAGUUAUCCUAUCCUAAGCAGUAUCAAAUUCUAGAACUUUUUAACAUUACAUUUUAUAGGACAAAAAAUAACUUCAUAUGAAUGCCAAUUAUGUAAAUUAUUGUAAAAAAAAAGCAGAAGACAUUACUAUGGAGAAUAACAGUUCUAAUGGAUCAACUGUGUUAGCAAAGAUAUAUGUACGCAGUUUAUAUUCAUAUAAUCUACAUAUAUCAGAUGUAUUUUUUUUAAACUUGGUGAAUAAAAUGUAAAGAAAUCAAA